GGGGCGUGGCUUGGGAGCUCACCUUUCUUACCCUCUUUCAGGUGACCGAGAGAGAAAAGUGGCGUCGGAGAUCCCCGGAUCUACUAAGUGUGAUCUGUACUGAGCCGUCAUUAUGAAAUCAAUAACGAGAAGGGAUUAUGAUCGGGUUAACGCCAGCGGAAUGUGACAGGAGAAGUUUGUCAGGUGUGGAAGAAAAAAACCUCUGGACACUGAAGGCGAAAAUCCCCUUGACUAGAUCUCAAUCUACAUUAUCUCAAAAGUGCUCCAGAACCCUCUGAAGAUGUGGAUAUUUUCCGCUUUACGAAAUACUGUGUCUCCUGAAGCCGCUUUCAGCAGUAGUCUGGUUGAGGUUGGCAGUGUCUAAAGCUACUUUG
Carassius carassius (crucian carp) is the source of this 374-nucleotide long non-coding RNA. RefSeq lists it as uncharacterized. The record is from RefSeq and is a predicted model, not a curated record. The transcript is spliced from 3 exons. NCBI's taxonomy places the organism in Eukaryota, Metazoa, Chordata, Actinopteri, Cypriniformes, Cyprinidae.